GACGAACGCUGGCGGCGUGCCUAAUACAUGCAAGUCGAACGCUGAAGGAGGAGCUUGCUUCUCUGGAUGAGUUGCGAACGGGUGAGUAACGCGUAGGUAACCUGCCUGGUAGCGGGGGAUAACUAUUGGAAACGAUAGCUAAUACCGCAUAAUAGUAGAUGUUGCAUGACAUUUGCUUAAAAGGUGCAAUUGCAUCACUACCAGAUGGACCUGCGUUGUAUUAGCUAGUUGGUGGGGUAACGGCUCAUCAAGGCGACGAUACAGAGCCGACCUGAGAGGGUGGUCGGCCACACUGGGACUGAGACACGGCCCAGACUCCUACGGGAGGGAGCAGUAGGGGAUCUUCGGCAAUGGACGGAAGUCUGACCGAGCAACGCCGCGUGAGUGAAGAAGGUUUUCGGAUCGUAAAGCUCUGUUGUAAGGGAAGAACGAGUGUGAGAGUGGAAAGUUCACACUGUGACGGUAUCUAACCAGAAAGGGACGGCUAACUACGUG
This 495-nucleotide ribosomal RNA is filed under the name uncultured bacterium. RNAcentral's name for it is "partial 16S ribosomal RNA". It matches the Rfam family "Bacterial small subunit ribosomal RNA", at positions 28 to 507 of the family's 1533-position model. The record is from RNAcentral.